Poecilia reticulata (guppy) is the source of this 258-nucleotide non-coding RNA. NCBI's taxonomy places the organism in Eukaryota, Metazoa, Chordata, Actinopteri, Cyprinodontiformes, Poeciliidae. The record is from RefSeq and is a predicted model, not a curated record.
AAUUAUUUUGGCCUGGAGUCUAAUCUUCAAGCUGCUGCCUUUUCGUCCUUUAGCCGCCACAGUCAUCUCCUCCUGGACAACUCCUUCCUGAAUUUAGUCCCGGUAUAAAUUCAGCAGUAAUGUGAAGGCCACGGAGAAUUAAUAAAGAAGCAGUAUCAUAAAAAUGAAGGAACACGCAACGAGGGUGGAGAGGUUGGACUGGUCAUCCCUGCGGGUCGGAGAACCUGGAGGUUCGUCAUCGUCAGGGAAACGAACGCC